GGCCUCGGGCAACCUCGUACAGUUCAAGAGCUCGUGUGUCUCGUGCACACCUACAAGUCCAAGCUCAUCUUCCUCUCUGAAACACGGCAAAUAACAAUUGUAAGGAACUUAAAGUGGAGGCUCGGCCUUCGUCAAUGUAUCACGCAACCCGGCACUGGAAAAGGUGCCGGCAUUGCCCUCUUCUAUGAUGAGUGUGUGGAAAUAAAAAUGAUCGCCGUGGGGGCGAGAUACAUUGAUGUGUUAAUUCGGUUGAAUCCUCAUGGUAAAUAGUGGAGAGGGACCUUUGUCUACGGUGAACCAAAAGCACAUGAACGACACCAUAUGUGGACAUUGCUUAGAAGGAUUAAAGAUACUAGUAAUCUUCCAUGGCUGAUGAUGGCCGACUUCAAUGAAACUAUGUGGCAAUCCGAACACUUUUCGUCCACAAAGAGAUUCGAGAAGAACAUGGAAAAUUUUCGGGAAGUUCUGUCAGACUGCAAUCUGUUUGACAUGGGAUACAGAGGGCCAGGGUGGACGUACAAUAAUAAACAGCAAGGGCAUUCAAAUGUUCGUGCACGCUUGGACAGAUGUGUGGCAUCACCCGAGUGGUCGGACUUCUUUAAACAGGCCACUGUGGAACAUAUUUGCUCGUCGAGGUCUGAUCAUCUCCCUGUCCUGCUGAGAGUUGGGGAAAGGAAAGACUGGAGGCCUGUGGAUAAGGGCAACAGUGGUAUUUUUAGAUACGAAGAAAUGUGGGAAAGGGCCGAAUCACUACAACCAACGGUUACCACGGCAUGGAAGGAAGAUGGUCCGGCUGGGAGUUUACAGAAGAUCUGCGCUAAGUUGAAACACAUGCAAGAGAGUUUGCGCUAUUGGGUCGCUAAGGACUUUGGAUUGGUCAUCAAAAAAACUUCAGAAAUCCGGUCGAAGCUAAAAAGGAUCUGGAGCUCGGCUCCAUUACCAGAAAAUCAGAAGAGAGCGGAUAUGCUAGCUCAUUGCUACCUUUUGAGCACUGCGUUGGUUUUUCCUUGA
This 1011-nucleotide ribosomal RNA is filed under the name Triticum aestivum (bread wheat). RNAcentral describes it as "partial small subunit ribosomal RNA". Lineage: Eukaryota; Viridiplantae; Streptophyta; Magnoliopsida; Poales; Poaceae. The record is from RNAcentral.